UACGUAGGGUGCGAGCGUUGUCCGGAAUUAUUGGGCGUAAAGAGCUUGUAGGCGGUUUGUCGCGUCUGCUGUGAAAAUCCGGGGCUCAACCCCGGACUUGCAGUGGGUACGGGCAGACUAGAGUGUGGUAGGGGAGACUGGAAUUCCUGGUGUAGCGGUGGAAUGCGCAGAUAUCAGGAGGAACACCGAUGGCGAAGGCAGGUCUCUGGGCCACGACUGACGCUGAGAAGCGAAAGCAUGGGGAGCGAACAGG
This 253-nucleotide ribosomal RNA is filed under the name uncultured bacterium. Its description in RNAcentral is "partial 16S ribosomal RNA". It matches the Rfam family "Bacterial small subunit ribosomal RNA", at positions 524 to 776 of the family's 1533-position model. The record is from RNAcentral.